AGAGUUUGAUCCUGGCUCAGGAUGAACGCUAGCGGCAGGCCUAAUACAUGCAAGUCGAGGGGCAGCACGAAUAGCAAUAUUUGGUGGCGACCGGCGCACGGGUGCGUAACGCGUAUGCAACCUACCUUUUACUGGGGGAUAGCUCCGAGAAAUCGGGAUUAAUACCUCAUAAUAAGUUUUACCGGCAUCGGUAGAACUUUAAAGCUCCGGCGGUAAGAGAUGGGCAUGCGUGCCAUUAGCUAGUUGGUGAGGUAACGGCUCACCAAGGCAACGAUGGCUAGGGGGUGUGAGAGCAUGGCCCCCCACACGGGUACUGAGACACGGACCCGACUCCUACGGGAGGCAGCAGUAAGGAAUAUUGGACAAUGGGCAAAGCCUGAUCCAGCCAUGCCGCGUGAAGGAUGAAGGCGCUCAGCGUUGUAAACUUCUUUUGGAUGGGAACAAUAACCACGACUUGUCGUGACUUGAGGGUACCAUCAGAAUAAGCACCGGCU
RNAcentral lists this ribosomal RNA (494 nucleotides) under uncultured bacterium. Its description in RNAcentral is "bacterial SSU rRNA". It matches the Rfam family "Bacterial small subunit ribosomal RNA", at positions 8 to 498 of the family's 1533-position model. The record is from RNAcentral.